RNAcentral lists this ribosomal RNA (606 nucleotides) under uncultured Actinobacteridae bacterium. RNAcentral describes it as "bacterial SSU rRNA". It matches the Rfam family "Bacterial small subunit ribosomal RNA", at positions 252 to 866 of the family's 1533-position model. The record is from RNAcentral. Lineage: Bacteria; Bacillati; Actinomycetota; Actinomycetes.
GUGGGGUAACGGCCUACCAAGGCGAUGACGGGUAGCGGGUCUGAGAGGAUGAUCCGUCACACUGGGACUGAGACACUGCCCAGACUCCUACGGGAGGCUGCAGUCGAGAAUCUUCCACAAUGGACGAAAGUCUGAUGGAGCGACACCGCGUGGGGGAUGACGGCCUUCGGGUUGUAAACUCCUUUCGCUAGGGACGAAGCUUUUUGUGACGGUACCUAGAUAAGAAGCACCGGCUAACUACGUGCCAGCAGCCGCGGUAAUACGUAGGGUGCGAGCGUUGUCCGGAAUUACUGGGCGUAAAGGGCUCGUAGGUGGUUUGUCGCGUCGUCUGUGAAAUUCCGGGGCUUAACUCCGGGCGUGCAGGCGAUACGGGCAUAACUUGAGUACUGUAGGGGUAACUGGAAUUCCUGGUGUAGCGGUGAAAUGCGCAGAUAUCAGGAGGAACACCGAUGGCGAAGGCAGGUUACUGGGCAGUUACUGACGCUGAGGAGCGAAAGCAUGGGUAGCGAACAGGAUUAGAUACCCUGGUAGUCCAUGCCGUAAACGGUGGGCGCUAGGUGUGAGGGUCUUUUCACGACUUUCGUGCCGUAGCUAACGCAUUAAGCG